CCUACGGGGGGCAGCAGUGGGGAAUAUUGGACAAUGGGCGAAAGCCUGAUCCAGCCAUGCCGCGUGUGUGAAGAAGGCCUUCGGGUUGUAAAGCACUUUCAGUGGGGAAGAAAGCCUUGGGGCUAAUACCCUCGAGGAAGGACAUCACCCACAGAAGAAGCACCGGCUAACUCCGUGCCAGCAGCCGCGGUAAUACGGAGGGUGCGAGCGUUAAUCGGAAUUACUGGGCGUAAAGCGCGCGUAGGCGGUCUGAUAAGCCGGUUGUGAAAGCCCCGGGCUCAACCUGGGAACGGCAUCCGGAACUGUCAGGCUAGAGUGCAGGAGAGGAAGGUAGAAUUCCCGGUGUAGCGGUGAAAUGCGUAGAGAUCGGGAGGAAUACCAGUGGCGAAGACGGCCUUCUGGACUGACACUGACGCUGAGGUGCGAAAGCGUGGGUAGCAAACAGGAUUAGAUACCCGUGUAGUC
This 465-nucleotide ribosomal RNA is filed under the name Vreelandella stevensii. RNAcentral's name for it is "partial 16S ribosomal RNA". It matches the Rfam family "Bacterial small subunit ribosomal RNA", at positions 338 to 795 of the family's 1533-position model. Lineage: Bacteria; Pseudomonadati; Pseudomonadota; Gammaproteobacteria; Oceanospirillales; Halomonadaceae. The record is from RNAcentral.